Long non-coding RNA from Pan troglodytes (chimpanzee), 962 nucleotides. RefSeq lists it as uncharacterized. Lineage: Eukaryota; Metazoa; Chordata; Mammalia; Primates; Hominidae. The record is from RefSeq and is a predicted model, not a curated record. The transcript has 2 exons.
AAACGCGGAAGUGGAGCUCUGGCUUCCCGGGACGUCGGAGUCAAGGUCCCUGGAGCUGCCGCUCUGGCUCCUGGGCGAUUCCGGGGAGCCUUUCUCCCCAAUUUGCCAACUCCCUGGGCAUCUCUCUCUCUUCCUGGUCCCGCCACACCCAAACAACUCUUAUAGUUCCACCCGGUAUACUGGUCUCUUGACAGAAACUUUUGGGAAAUGCCCCUCCCCCAGCCCCUUGUCCGGGGCAACUUCCUUGUCUCUUCUCCCCCACCGGUGUUGGGGAGUUCCUUGUCUCCACUCCCAACCACAGAGCCACAAGUACAUUAUCUAUGCCCAGGCGAGUCCCUAUGCCCAGGCUAGGAGAGCCGCACUUCUUCCUACAGCUGACACGUUUGGUUUUUGGAGGGGAAAGGGGAGCUGUAGCUGAAUCAGUAAUGGAAAUUGGUUCUUCCAUCUCUGCUUCUCUCUACAAAGCUGCUUUAUAAUCUCGGCAGAGCUGUUUUCACUGCUUUUUUGGGAACGUAAUCCAGGUUUACCCAGCCUCACUUCAAGAACAAACAGAGACUAAUUAGUAUCUAUGAAUCCCAAUCCCCAGGAGAAAGAAACUGAUUGGUUCGAUUUAUGUCCGCUUGUGUACUCUUGGUACAAUCACCUUUGACCAUCAGGGCAGUUAUGUAGUCAGGUCUCUUUGUUUUGUAAAGCAAACAUGGCUGCCAGAACCCCAUCUUUGUAAGCUAUGUUCUCAAAGUUAUGUACUUGGCAAAGAUUCCAAAAAAUGUCCACCACAGACCAUAAACGAGUAAAUUGCAGCUGAACUUCAAAAGCAUAAAGAACAAUUGACAUGUUAAGGAUUUUCAACAGACUGACUCCUACUUAAACAAAUUCAGACCUGAAUUUAAAUGGAACUCCUUCAAAGAAGUCAUCCCUGACCCAAGCCCCAAUCAAAAUUUGGUGGCCCCAUUAUUAUCUUA